RNAcentral lists this transfer RNA (75 nucleotides) under seawater metagenome. Its description in RNAcentral is "tRNA-Val". It matches the Rfam family "tRNA". Rfam says of the family: Transfer RNA (tRNA) molecules are approximately 80 nucleotides in length. Their secondary structure includes four short double-helical elements and three loops (D, anti-codon, and T loops). Further hydrogen bonds mediate the characteristic L-shaped molecular structure. tRNAs have two regions of fundamental functional importance: the anti-codon, which is responsible for specific mRNA codon recognition, and the 3' end, to which the tRNAs corresponding amino acid is attached (by aminoacyl-tRNA synthetases). tRNAs cope with the degeneracy of the genetic code in two manners: having more than one tRNA (with a specific anti-codon) for a particular amino acid; and 'wobble' base-pairing, i.e. permitting non-standard base-pairing at the 3rd anti-codon position. The record is from RNAcentral.
GAUAUAGUAACUUAAUUGGUAAAGACCAUGGUUCACGACCAUGCGCAGAUGGAGGUUCGAAUCCUUCCUGUAUCA